CUGCUUUCUACUUUCAGCGAGCCGACCACGCUUCCCUUUCCUCCAUUGGGGAGUGCACGCAUCUCCAUCUUCUCUCUCUCUCUCUAUCUCUGCAUUCUGUGUGCGACACUUGUUUAUCUCUCAGAGUGAAUUUGUGUGUCAGAUUAAUUAAGGACAAGCCCUGGGCGAGGAAAAAGGCAGGGUUGCGGUUGCCGAGCUCUCCGGUCCGCCGCCUCGGUGCUCCCUUCGUCAGCAUCCACCUAUCCCUCCCUCUCUCUCUCUCUCUUCCCCAGACCCCUGUGUCCACUGCACUGCACAGCAUCAUCCUUAAAUACUCUCGCCCCCCUCCCAACAAGUCCCGCAGCUAAGCUAGCGCACCAGCACCACACAUUCCGCCUCCAACUGCGACGCCGGCCAGCAGGUCACAUACGACUACGAGGGUGGGAAGCAGGUCGCCGGUAGAGGACCAAAAACACGCCAAGAGUGUGAGGGAGAUCAUGGCUGGCAGGCAGGAGAAGAGCUACUUCGACGUGCUGGGCAUCUGCUGCCCGUCGGAGGUGCCGCUGGUGGAGAAGCUCCUCGAGCCGCUCCCCGGCGUGCACAAGGUCACCGUGAUCGUGCCCUCCAGGACGGUGAUCGUCGUGCACGACGCUGCCACCAUUUCCCAGGCCCAGAUAGUCAAGGCGCUGAACGGGGCGCGGCUGGAGGCGUCGGUGCGGGCGUACGGCGGCGGCGCGGACAAGAUCAACAAAUGGCCGAGCCCCUACGUGCUCCUCUGCGGGGUCCUUCUGGUCGCCUCGCUCUUCCAGCACUUCUGGCACCCGCUGAGGUGGCUCGCGCUCGUCGCCACGGCCGCCGGCCUGCCGCCCAUCGUCCUCAGAAGCGUCGCCGCCGCGCGGAGGCUCACCCUGGACGUCAACAUACUCAUGCUUAUCGCAGUCGGUGGGGCAGUUGCACUCAAGGACUACUCCGAGGCCGGCUUCAUCGUCUUCCUCUUCACCACGGCGGAGUGGCUCGAGACAAGGGCGAGCUGCAAGGCCACUGCCGGGAUGUCGUCGCUGAUGAGCAUGGCACCACAAAACGCUGUGCUAGCAGAGACGGGGCAGGUGGUCGUGGCGCAGGACGUGAAGGUCGACACGGUGAUAGCUGUGAAGGCGGGGGAGGUCGUUCCGAUAGACGGUGUCGUCGUCGAUGGGCGGAGCGAGGUCGACGAGCAGACCCUCACCGGAGAGUCCUUCCUGGUGGCCAAACAGACGGACUCGCAGGUCUGGGCCGGCACCCUCAACAUAGACGGCUACAUUUCUGUGAGGACAACGGCUAUGGCCGACAACUCGGCGGUGGCCAAGAUGGCGAGGCUGGUUGAAGAGGCCCAGAACAGCAGAUCAGAGACGCAGAGGCUGAUCGACACCUGCGCCAAGUACUACACUCCUGCGGUGAUCGUCAUGGCAGCGGCGGUGGCGGUGACGCCUGUGAUCGUGAGAGCGCACAACCUGAGGCACUGGUUUCAGCUGGCCCUGGUCCUCCUGGUGAGCGCCUGCCCAUGCGCUGUAGUUCUCUCGACGCCGGUCGCCACCUUCUGCGCGCUGCUCAAGGCCGCCAGGACCGGGCUGCUCAUCAAAGGUGGGGAUGUCCUCGAGUCCUUGGCCGGGAUCAAAGUCGCGGCUUUUGACAAAACUGGCACGAUUACAAGUGGAGAGUUCGCCGUCGCAGAGUUCCGGGCAGUCGUAGAACGUGUUGCAGAUCAACAGCUGCUCUACUGGGUGUCGAGCGUGGAGAGCAGGUCGAGCCACCCAAUGGCAGCUGCCCUUGUUGAUUAUGCUCGAUCAAACUCGGUGGAACCAAAAUCGGAGAAUGUCUUGGAAUUUCAGAUUUACCCUGGUGAGGGGAUUUACGGUGAAAUCGACGGACAAGGUGUAUACAUCGGGAACAAAAGGAUCUUGUCAAGGGCUUCAUGUGAAACAGUUCCAGAGGUAAAUGACAUCAAAGGGGUCACCGUUGGAUACGUGGCCUGCAACAAGGAGUUGGUCGGGCUAUUCGGCCUCUCGGACGUCUGCCGAACUGGAUCAGCCGAAGCCAUCAGGGAGCUGAGAUCAAUGGGCAUCAAGUCAGUGAUGCUCACAGGUGAUAGCACUGCCGCUGCCACCUACGCACAGAACCAGCUGGGAAAUGUUCUAGCCGAGGUUCACUCUGAACUGCUGCCGGUGGACAAGGUGCGGAUCGUCGACGAGCUCAAGGUGAGGGACGGCCCAACGCUGAUGAUCGGCGACGGCAUGAACGACGCCCCGGCGCUGGCCAGGGCCGACGUCGGCGUCUCGAUGGGCGUGUCCGGCUCGGCCGUGGCCAUGGAGACGAGCCACGUCACGCUCAUGUCCAACGACAUCCGCAGGAUCCCCAAGGCCAUCCGGCUGGCGAGGAGGACGCGCCGGACCAUCCUCACCAACAUCGUCUUCUCGGUCGCCACGAAGCUCGCCAUCGUCGGGCUCGCGCUCGCCGGGCACCCGCUCGUCUGGGCGGCGGUGCUCGCUGACGUCGGCACGUGCUUGCUGGUGAUCAUGUACAGCAUGAUGUUGCUGAGAGGGGGAGACGGUGGGAGGGGGAAGAAAUGCUGCGCUUCUUCUCACCAAGGGUCUCACUCUCACCCCGAGAAGCACGGCGGUCCGUGCAAAUCAGCAGGCGGCUGCGCAGGUUCGUCUGCUGGUGGCCAUGCUUGCGGCGAUGAACAUCAUCAUUCAUCACCACGGGCAUGGCGACCACCAAGAGCCGGGCAGCCCGCACCACCCACACAAGCAUGGAUGUGAAGAUCAUGGCCAUGGCCAUGGCCACAGCCACAGCCACUGUCAAGAUCAUGGUCAGGGCCACCACCACACCAAAGAGGCGAGCAGCCAAUUGGUGACAAGCAAGAACCAUUUCCAUGGCCAUGGCCACUGCAAAGAGAAGCACGAUGAGCAGAGCAUCAACUCAGCCGAGGCAAUCCGAGAGCACUCCAUACUGAUCGAUGCGUCAGCUGCUGACCAACAACAAAUCAAGUGCAGUCACCAGAGCGAAGAACACGAGGCAGAAAACUGCGGGCAUCACGCCAAGGCGAAAGCCUGCACCCCAGCUCCGGCCGACUGCUGCGACACGGUACGCGACGAGGGAUGCGCAACCAAAGCGAGGGACGUGUGCUCGAGCCGGCGGGCUGGUUGCACUGCCGGAGAAACCAGGCGAUGUUGCCGGAGCAGCAGGGCGAGCAGGUGCGGCGGCGGCCACGCAAGCAUGCUGAAGCUGCCUGAGAUCGUGGUGGAGUAGGAAUGUAGGAUGGAACUACUAUAUAUCAGCAAGCAGCAGCAGCAGUUCAAGAAGAAGCCUUUGCUGCUGCUGAAAAUCGGUGGGAGGGGAUGCUGCUUUCUUGUGUCCUCUCCCUGUUGAUUGAUCCGGCAUCGAAUUUUAACAUAAAAGGAUGCUAGCCGACUUGCCUCCACGGAGCUCCCUCGAUUUGAUGCACUUCUGACCGUUCGAUCAUAGUCAAUCUGGUCUUCUGGCUCUUCUCAGACGUCAGAUCUUUACCUACAGUCAAUCUGAUUUUCACCCGUCGGUAGUUCUCCGUAGCCUAUGACUGGUGGGCUCGUUGCUCACGUCUAUUGGCCGGGUGAGACAUUUCGACGUGCGAGCCAAUCCUCCCCUCACGCGCGGCACACGGUGUAUGGCACCGCACAAACCCUACCCCCGAUCCAUUGGUGUUUCACCCUUUCUUCCCCUUUCCUCCCCUUCCCUUCAGCCGCCACACCUCCUCUCACGUGCUUGCCGCCGCCACGGCCUCGCUGCGCCCGCCACUAGAUCUGCGCCCUCGAGGGUGACGGCGAGCUGAAGACGAUGAGCAGCGGCGCGUGGGGUUCGUGCAGGUCCUCGGCUCGCCCGUACCUCACCAGUCCGCCGGGCAAGCAAGCCCGUGGGAGACGAGCGCACGGAGGUCAGCGGCAAGUGCUCCAGAGAGGAGAGAAGGCGGCACUCUAGGUGGCGGCGCUGGGCCAGCAAAAUCAGGUGGUGGCUGAGGUACACGAGAGCGAGGUGGUGCUGGAACGCAUGGGGGCCGGCAGCAAGUCGCCGAAAGUGCACAACCACUCCGACGAGGUGGUGGUGGCCUGCUUGCCCAUGGUGAGCCAUUGUUCUUUGCUCCUCUCUUCUCAUGACAAGGUUUGACGGACACCGAAGCCGUCUGCUCCAUCCGCCAGCAUGCUCAUAAAGUGGGAGGGGAAGGAGGCCAACGACUAGGAGAAGGAGCAUGGAUCAUAAUCGAUGUUAUGGGUAAAACUGCUAACAAAUUGCUGCAUCAUCAUGGGUAAGGUGUCAAUACUACUAGGUAGGCAUAGUGAGUAUUCCACUUAUUAUGUUCACCUUGACACGCUUCAUGGAUUGUAUGAAUUACUUUAAAUAUGUAAACCUACUUUGCUGUAUGUUAGUUUUAGGAUGGCAACUUGCCUUUUUUUUCAUGCCUUGUUAACAGUUUUGGUUCUCACAGGGUUUGAGAUGUGUAGAUCCAGUUCGAAGGAUCAGUUGCAGGUGAGUAUGUAGUAUCCUUAUCUAUUUCAUAUGCUUGACUCCACUUUCAUUUUCCUAUGAUGUAUACAUCGGGCUCAGGGCUUUGGCCUGUUCCAUCCAAGGUGUAUCAUGCUUUAUCUGAAACUCAAGUCAUUUGAUGUUGUUGGGGCUUCUUUGAUCGACAUGAGAAAGAAGGCAUAUGUGAUUUUUUUUAGGCCAUCUGUCCAGGUAGUGACAUUCUAAUAUGCAAGGAAUGUGUUUAUUUGAUUUUUUUAUUCUGACAUACACUAAAGUAAUCAUGACCAUCAGUAAAAGGAACACAGUCAAAACAUGAUUAUAUUUUGUCUUGGUAUACCUCAUUUAGUUGUCAUUUGUAUAUUUCAAGGAAAUUAUUCAAUUUUUAGUUAUCUUUCCAUUGCUAUUUUCCCUUCUAUGCUUAUCGGAUGGGUAGACAAUCUUAUAAGGGGAUGCAAUGGAUUUUUGUAUUUUGGAUUCUCUGGACUGAAUGGGUUAUAUUUUUAACCCAUAAAAAUUACUUUGACUCCAAUAUGAUCAACUGUGACUCGGAAUAUUUUUCCCAAUAGUAUCGGACAACAUUGUAGGCACCCACCCUCCAAAGCAUACAUUUGCAUUAUCUUAUUUGAUUAUUGAACUAACUAUCAACGAUCAUGUAUAUAGACUUCCCGGAGAAAUAAACCAAGAUGGGUAUUAUCUCGUACACCACAAGGAACCUGCCCUCCUGCUCAGGUUCUGUAGCCAUGGCCCUCGAGUUAGCGGAGAAUGGUUAUGAUGAAGACUCUGAUUACGGUUCUUAGAUCCUAUGUGCCUGCUUUAUUAUUCUGCUGCUGUGAAACAGGCCUUGUCGCCACCUCACUUGUCAUCGUAGUCGUCCCUACCUCACUCCCCUCUGCCCUUGAGGCAAGGGUAUGUACCUUACUUAAUUCUUCACUGGAAAUUCUUUGAAUUGAUAUACAAGUAUUUCAAACACUUCAUCUAUUGGGGAGCUGCUAUAUUUUCCUCCUGUUGUCCGGCCAUCGCUUGAUCUUUGCGUUCCACUCGUUCCACUCCUCCUAUUGGUCAUAGUUUGCCUCUGCCUUGCUGUGUGCCAAAGACAGAUCCAGAAGAUAUGGUAACUACUGUUGAUGGAUUGAUUUUAUGUAUAACUCAUCUAUUCAUAAUUUUAUGUUAACUUAGUUGUUGUGUUUUUCUUUUCAAAUGCUUUUGUUUUAUGGGAGGCUGAGGGUUUUGGAAUUAUUUGUAUGGGUGAGUUCUUUUUCUGUAAGUGUAUUUUAUUUUAUAUGUUGCUGACUGUUUUUGUAAUUUAUUCUUGUUCUUUUAUGAAACCGAGAAGAAAGAAAAGAACAACGAGAAAUUGUUUAGCUAAAUAGGCAAAGCCGCUGAUGUUUACUUGCUGUUUGUUGUAGACCCUUGAUGGGUCAUGCUUUUGGCUACCUUUUGCGUUCCUUGACAUCAUCGAAGUUGAAAUAAGAAGAAGAUGAUGAUGAAAUCUUGCCGAGAUCUGAGGAUGAAGAGAAGAUAUGGGUUAACUUUCAGAGUGAUUGAGUUGGUCAAAAAAUAUGAAGCACAUCAAAGGGGCUUGUUGCUUGGCUGCUAUGGAGAAGGGUAUUCUUUGAAGGAGUUGUAGACCUUUUGGAUAUGCUUCAAUUUGGACACUUUUUCAGUAUGUAUAUGAUAUGGGCAGACCCAGUGCAUAGAAGCUCCCACACAAGGUGGGGUCUGGGGAGGGAUUAUAGGAACCUAGUCUUACCCCUGCAAAGUGCAAUGCAGAGAGGCUGGUUCGAACCCAGGACCUCUUGGCACAAGUGGGGAGGACUUCACCACUGCGCCAGGCCUGCCCUCAAACAUGAUAUCUACGUAUCUGAGAAUUUUUAUUUGUGGGAAAUGAAAAACUUAAUGUGGCUGGAGUUCUACGCGGAUUAAAUCUAAUUAUCCUUAUAUUUCAACUCCAAUGACUCGGCCUCACAUGUAGAAUGCGGUUUUGGGCAUGUGUUUCGGUUCAUUGGGUUUCGACGGAAUCAAAGGUCAGGAAAAAUAUAUAGGUGUUAGUUCAUUAUCUUUUCAGGUUUCUUAAUUAUUCAUACAUUUGCAUCUAUGUUACAGGUGCUAGCUUUCAUGGCUAGGAUUUUUUUAGCAUAUUCAAAUCUGUAUUAGAAUAAGGUUUCCCCCUUGGAUGUUCCUUAUGUAUCCAUAUAUUAGAUUUUUGUGUGGUUCAUUUGUUGCAAAUAUAUAAAUAAUAAUCUGAUUGACUAUAUGCAGAUUUGGUUUGAAAUCUUAAAGCAGUCUCUGACAAGUUGUAGGUGAAGAAGAUCAUGUCCUAGCAGUUAUAUGCACGUGGAGUACAUUUAUUGUAUGCAUUUUGUUUAGAAGUAUUCAGUUUCAUAGCAUAAUCAAGUGUUUUUCAAUACUCUCUCUCUCACACACACACAAUGUCUUUAAUUUCUGUUUUUUUAAUGUAUUGGCCUCUGAAUGAUCUGCAUGGUAUAUAUCUAUAUCGCUGAAUGACCUCGACUUGUACCUUUGUGGUUUGCAAACACUAAAACAUGUGUUGCUACAGAGUUAUCUUAGUUUUGACGUUGAUCGGUGCAGGUGGGUUCUCAUGGUAGGAUUUGAUCCACUCGGAUAUCAAUGGUACUGAUACUUAAGUUGGCUUUCUUUAAAAAAAUAAAGUAUGUUAUGUGUUAGUUUGGGCGCAAGCCUGUAUCAUGAAUACAUACUGCUCACAGUGCAUUUGCAUGAGAAGCCCUUCACAAGAAAAAACUAUACAUUCACAUUUUUUUUGCGGAAACUAUAUAUUUACUUAUUAUUCAGAGCUCACUGUAUGAAAUCCGAGUGGUGCUCAAGAUGUUAAUUAACUAGCUUUGUGAAUGGGGUGGUGAAAAAUACUGCUCACUUUAUUUGUUUGGUCGCAAGCCUAUAUCAUGUACACAUACUGCUCAAUUUAUUUGAACCUUCAGAAAAUAAAUCAAUUUGCUCAAGCCUUUCUGCUGUUGAUUCCAGUUCAUUGGAGUAACUUUAAUAUUUCUUCUCAUUGCAUCAAUUAACAUGAAUGCAAAAUAGAUUUGUUGUCUUAUGCUAUCCCGUAUCAGGGAUGAUGCCACUAAGUUGUUAUAAUUAUGCUUGUAGUCCUUGUCGGAGUUUGGGUACUGCACUUUAUAAUGCAAAGGAAUGGUAUAAACUAUAGCUGGUUCUUUCAUGUAGUAUGCCUUUUUCUAUAAUGUAAGUUAUGGAUGCGGUACUUCUUCGAAACCUUCAUAAUGCUUUUUGUCAUGCAACAACUUGCUAACAAGUCCUGGUCUGUUGCAGUUGAUUGCACAUGUGGAGUGCUUCUGGAUGCAUUUAUUGUCUCAUGUCACAAGGAUUUACAACUUUUACGAGAAUGCGGGUGUAGAGUAUUGAUAAUUCCAGAUGGUUCACUUCCUACAAUAGAGCACCCUACAGUACUAUCAAUUAUUCAGUCAGAGAACCACACUAUGCUGAAUAUAUUGGUGGAUCAGGUACAUCGAUAAGCACCCAAUGUUCAGUCAGAUGAAGAGAGUGAAAAUAUAUCGGUGGAUCAGGUACAUUGAUAAGCACCCAAUGUUCAGUCAGAUGAAGAGAGUGAAAACAGCGUUUACUCUGAAUUUUCAGACAGAGUGGCGAUGCAGCUGGAAGUUUGAGGCACUAGAUUCCCCCUGAUGGAGGAACAAUCAAGUUAAAUUUAGAUGCUUCAUUCUUUGCUGAGACUUGGAGGAGCUAUAUCGGGGCCAUCGCCGGGGAUCUUUUUUUGGUGUUUCUUCUAUUUAUCCAAGAGCAUUGACAAAUGUAGUUCUGUGGAAGAGGCUGAGGCUCAGGCGAUGCUAGAUGGAUUGACAGCUCUGACAUCUAUGUACAACAAUGUCUGUUUCCCAACUUCAUGCGACAUUAAGACCAGCUCUUCUUCUGUUCUUGUCCAAGUCCGGGCAGCAGAACCAGUAUACCAUCGCCCAUGCCCUUGGUGUGUGUGUGCCAGAACUAAAGAGAACAUACUCAAGAUUGCAGAUAUCCCAGCGGAGUUACAUGGGGCAGUUAAAUCUGAUUGUAAACAAGGUUCCCGAGUAGUUUCUACUCUGUAUCUAAAACAUGCAUCCGAUGGAAUUUUUUUUUUAAUAUUGUGAUGUAUUUCAGGAAGCGGAUUAGGAGCACUCGGGUGCUCUACCCCCCUGUGUAGCACCCGAGAGCUCCUAUGCAUUUUCGUGCAUUUCACUCCUUUUGUCAUGGAAGUAGAUAAGGCCUCACCGGUUCGGGUGUGACCGUAAAUUAUGUCAGUUAUUUUGAAGUUA
Molecule: RNA transcript, 8816 nt
Organism: Triticum aestivum (bread wheat)
Lineage: Eukaryota; Viridiplantae; Streptophyta; Magnoliopsida; Poales; Poaceae
Gene name: cadmium/zinc-transporting ATPase HMA2-like
Exons: 16
Source: RefSeq, a predicted model, not a curated record